UACGUAGGCAGCGAGCGUUGUUCGGAGUUACUGGGCGUAAAGGGUGUGUAGGCGGUUGUUUAAGUUUGGUGUGAAAUCUCCCGGCUCAACUGGGAGGGUGCGCCGAAUACUGAAUGACUUGGAGUGCGGGAGAGGAGAGUGGAAUUCCUGGUGUAGCGGUGAAAUGCGUAGAUAUCAGGAGGAACACCGGUGGUGUAGACGGCUCUCUGGACCGUAACUGACGCUGAGGAGCGAAAGCGUGGGGAGCGAACAGG
This 254-nucleotide ribosomal RNA is filed under the name uncultured bacterium. Its description in RNAcentral is "partial 16S ribosomal RNA". It matches the Rfam family "Bacterial small subunit ribosomal RNA", at positions 524 to 776 of the family's 1533-position model. The record is from RNAcentral.